GGGUGGUUAGCAAAGCGGCUAUGCAGUGGACUUUUAAUCCGCACUAGAGAGGUUCGACUCCUCUAUCACCCACUA
Molecule: transfer RNA, 75 nt
Filed under: Cylindrospermum stagnale PCC 7417
Lineage: Bacteria; Bacillati; Cyanobacteriota; Cyanophyceae; Nostocales; Nostocaceae
Description: tRNA-Lys
Rfam family: tRNA
About the family: Transfer RNA (tRNA) molecules are approximately 80 nucleotides in length. Their secondary structure includes four short double-helical elements and three loops (D, anti-codon, and T loops).
Source: RNAcentral